AUGUUAAGAGAACAGUGGGUUUUCCUGGUUGUAAGGUUGAGUAGAUGGCACCUUCUUAAAGGACUAUGUGAGGAAGAAGUAAAUAGUACACUUAGGAGCACAAGCCCACACAAAAGACAUUCUACUGUAACUCACAUUCUGCUUCCUAUAGUGACUUUCUGUAGGUCAUUCUUUCCAGUAACAUAGUGAACCCUUUCAAUUUGCAAACAACAAAACAAAAGAUCAUAUCAGAUCACAAAAGAAAAGAUCAUCUUAAGUGGAACACAGGUGGUAUUUGUGGAAACGUAGAGAGUAGAAACUCACAGGCACAAGGAAUAAUGAGGAUUUUGUAGUUUUAUUAAUUGGAUUUUUAAAAAGAUCAUUUUCACUCACAGGUUAUUACAGUGGUUCUCAGGGGAUCCAGACAGGUAGAUCUUUGGUUUCUUCACCUAAACUACCUUAAGAGUACCCGAAUCAGUAGAAUAAAUAUUAUUGAAUGAAUCAGUGAAUUAGCUACAGUGUUAGUGGUAGACCUGACUCCUUUUACAGAAGAGGUAAACAGAGAUCCAGAGAGCUCAGGUAAUGUAAUUCUAGGCCAUGAAAGAGAUGGAAAUGCCUUUGUUCCACUCGAGUGCAGCACAAAGAAAACAGGCAGACUCCUCUGAGUAGCCCCUGGGGGUUCGUGAAGGGUUGCUCUCCUGUCACUCUCCACCUUCAGAUGUCAUGGCCUUUGUCUGUUUAACUUUACCAGCAGUAACAAUUAUUGAGCAUUUUUAUUUCUUCCAGAAUAUAAACUAAUAAGGGAGGGGAGGACAGAGGAUAUCUAAAAAUUAGAAUUAAGGACAGGUAAAGGCGAAGGUUGUCACAAUAAGGAAAGAGAAGAGUGAAUGGAAGAGAAAGGAAAGGGGUGCACCCCUGAAGACGCUACACCCCAGGCUGGAAACAGUGCAGCGUUUUAGGUGACCAAGCGCUCCUAGAUCUUUGCUAAGUUGUAGAAUGAGUUGUACGUAACGUAAGAGCAAAACCCAUGGACCUAUUAAACUUGGACCAAGAUAGGCCCGGUGUAUCGAUUCUUAGCAUACAGAAACGACACUGCCACGCUGGAGAAGGCCAGUAGACAUUCUGUGCGUAGGCCCUGUGGAGGGAGGAAGUGGUGAUACUUGAUGAGGUCGAGCCUACCCGUGCCGGGACCAGAUCUUUGAGUACAGUAAAGUUCAGGUCAAAUAAAUGUCUUCUUCCUUCCCCAUGACUAACCUAAUACGUGAAGUAAGUUUGGUUGUCAUAUACUUUUCAAAAAAGUUUUUCAAGAGAUAAUCAGGGGAAAGUGCACACCGAAAAGAAAAUCUUUAAUCCUAAUUUGUACCUGUGCAGACUCUUACCUUCAAACCCCAAAUAGGUUUAUGAGUUGGCCAUUUUCUUUUCACUUUUGAAAAUUCAUCUAAUUGCAUCUGUUACUUAAUGUUUCCUCAUUCCCUAAAAAUGUGUAUCUGAUACUUUCCUAAAAUACUGAUGUACUGGAAAUACAAAUAAUAAAUGCUUCUAUGUAG
This 1526-nucleotide long non-coding RNA is filed under the name Phocoena sinus (vaquita). Its description in RNAcentral is "lncRNA (ENSPSNG00000010454.1)". The record is from RNAcentral. Lineage: Eukaryota; Metazoa; Chordata; Mammalia; Artiodactyla; Phocoenidae.